GGACUACCAGGGUUUCUAAUCCUGUUUGCUCCCCACGCUUUCGCGCCUCAGCGUCAGUAUUGGUCCAGAAAGUCGCCUUCGCCACUGGUGUUCCUUCCGGUAUCUACGCAUUUCACCGCUACACCGGAAAUUCCACUUUCCUCUACCAUACUCUAGUUGUGCAGUAUCAAAUGCAGUUCCCAGGUUAAGCCCGGGUCUUUCACAUCUGACUUACAUAACCGCCUACGCGCUCUUUACGCCCAGUAAUUCCGAUUAACGCUCGCACCCUCUGUAUUACCGCGGCUGCUGGCAC
Molecule: ribosomal RNA, 292 nt
Filed under: uncultured bacterium
Lineage: Bacteria
Description: partial 16S ribosomal RNA
Source: RNAcentral